RNAcentral lists this ribosomal RNA (407 nucleotides) under uncultured bacterium. Its description in RNAcentral is "partial 16S ribosomal RNA". It matches the Rfam family "Bacterial small subunit ribosomal RNA", at positions 28 to 526 of the family's 1533-position model. The record is from RNAcentral.
GACGAACGCUGGCGGCGCGCUUAACACAUGCAAGUCGAGCGAAUCGGCGGACGGGUGAGUAACACGUGAGUAACCUGCCUUAGACAUUGGGAUAGCCUCGGGAAACCGGUAUUAAUACCAAAUGGUCUAAGAUGGACUCGCGUCCCAUUAGCAAGUUGGUGAGGUAACGGGCCCCGAAGGCGAUGAUGGGUAGCCGGGCUGAGAGGGUGAACGGACACAUUGGAACUGAGAAACGGUCCAAACUCUACGGGAGGCAGCAGUGGGGAAUAUUGCACAAUGGAGUGAACGCUGAUGCAGCGACGCCGCGGGAACGAAGAAGGCUUUCGAGUCGUAAAGUUAUUUUAUAUGGGAAGCGGUACCAUAAGAAAAAGCACCGGCUAACUACGUGCCAGCCGCCGCGGUAAUAC